UACGUAGGGGGCGAGCGUUGUCCGAAGUUACUGGGCGUAAAGCGCGCGUAGGCGGUCGAUUAAGUCUGGGGUGAAAGGUUCAGCGCUCAACGCGAACAGUGCCUUGGAUACUGGUUGACUUGAGUUGGGGAGGGGGAAGUGGAAUUCCGGGUGUAGCGGUGAAAUGCGUAGAUAUCAGGAGGAACACCGGUGGCGAAGGCGGCUCUCUGGACCACAACUGACGCUGAGGCGCGAAAGCUAGGGGAGCAAACAGG
This 254-nucleotide ribosomal RNA is filed under the name uncultured bacterium. Its description in RNAcentral is "partial 16S ribosomal RNA". It matches the Rfam family "Bacterial small subunit ribosomal RNA", at positions 524 to 776 of the family's 1533-position model. The record is from RNAcentral.